UCCCCAUCCCCUCCCCGCACCCGGAAGCCAAGCAAGGAGGCGGCGUACAAGGAGCCGUGCUUGCAUCUCAGCAUCAUGGCGGGCUGCAUCGCCGCCAUCCGCGCCGCCCCCUACAUCCUCCACUACCUCACCUGCGAGCCCGGCAUGACGGAGCUCAAGCUCGAGCUCCAGGGCGGCCCCGCCGCCCCCGCCCCCCUGAGAAGUUGCUAAUCUGUUUACAACAUGGAUGAUGACUGUUGCAAACAUCAAAUGCAACUAACAGAGGACUGGGGGAAGCACUCAUCUCCGUGCUCAAGCGUGUGCCGGUCGGUCAACCUUCACCAAAAUAGUGGUUAGGACCAGUUUGACACGAUUGACUUGUCGGACAACGAGAUUGUCAAGCUUGAGAACUUCCCUUUCAUGAACCGCACAGGGAGCCUGCACCUGAUUACAACUUACAAUGAGAGGGAGCAGGUGACGCCCAGCCCCCAGGGAGCUCUGCAUCCAAGUCUCGGCCGUCCUCCGCGGCAAGGAGCUGAGCUAAAGGAGCAAGCAGCACUGCUGGUUCCUUCGAGGAUGCGUGCUCCUGGUCGAGUCUUGUGGAAAAGCAGGGCGAAUCGGGCAUCGUCUCACUUGUGCCGUUGUGGUGAAUGAGGUUUUCAAAUGUUGAAGGAGGAGGACAACAGGAAAUUCUGUUAUGUCUUAUCAUCUAAAUUUCUGUUUUAAUUUUCUUUGUCGUAGAAUAGUUUUGUUUGGCACUUACUGUUCCUGGGAUGUAAAGAUAUGUAUUGGUGGAAUGAAUGGUUGUAAUAUUAUAACAUUGCACGUUGCUUUGAAAAUGUAUCAGAACUGGGCUAGGCCCAAGAUAGCUUGUGGUGUGAUGUGUUGUAAUGUCAAUGGCAUAAUAUUUUUUUUGGA
Molecule: long non-coding RNA, 897 nt
Organism: Triticum aestivum (bread wheat)
Lineage: Eukaryota; Viridiplantae; Streptophyta; Magnoliopsida; Poales; Poaceae
Exons: 4
Source: RefSeq, a predicted model, not a curated record